RNAcentral lists this ribosomal RNA (437 nucleotides) under uncultured Oscillospiraceae bacterium. Its description in RNAcentral is "partial 16S ribosomal RNA". It matches the Rfam family "Bacterial small subunit ribosomal RNA", at positions 341 to 792 of the family's 1533-position model. Lineage: Bacteria; Bacillati; Bacillota; Clostridia; Eubacteriales; Oscillospiraceae. The record is from RNAcentral.
ACGGGAGGCAGCAGUGGGGAAUAUUGGGCAGUGGGGGAAACCCUGACCCAGCAACGCCGCGUGAAGGAAGAAGGCCCUCGGGUUGUAAACUUCUUUUACCAGGGACGAACAAAAUGACGGUACCUGGAGAAAAAGCAACGGCUAACUACGCGCCAGCAGCCGCGGUAAUACGUAGGCUGCAAGCGUUGUCCGGAUUUACUGUGUGUAAAGGGCGUGUAGGCGGAGCUGCAAGUCAGAUGUGAAAUCCCGGGGCUCAACCCCGGAACUGCAUUUGAAACUGUAGCCCUUGAGUAUCGGAGAGGCAAGCGGAAUACCUAGUGUAGCGGUGGAAUGCGUAGAUAUUAGGAGGAACACCAGUGGCGAAGGCGGCUUGCUGGACGACGACUGGCGCUGAGGCGCGAAAGCGUGGGGAGCAAACAGGAUUAGAUACCCUGGUA